RNAcentral lists this ribosomal RNA (402 nucleotides) under uncultured Rhodospirillales bacterium. RNAcentral's name for it is "partial 16S ribosomal RNA". It matches the Rfam family "Bacterial small subunit ribosomal RNA", at positions 355 to 774 of the family's 1533-position model. The record is from RNAcentral. Lineage: Bacteria; Pseudomonadati; Pseudomonadota; Alphaproteobacteria; Rhodospirillales.
UGGGGAAUAUUGGACAAUGGGGGCAACCCUGAUCCAGCAAUGCCGCGUGGGUGAUGAAGGCCUUCGGGUUGUAAAGCCCUUUCGGCGGGGAAGAUGAUGACGGUACCCGCAGAAGAAGCCCCGGCUAACUUCGUGCCAGCAGCCGCGGUAAUACGAAGGGGGCUAGCGUUGUUCGGAAUUACUGGGCGUAAAGGGCGCGUAGGCUGUGCUGUAAGUCAGGCGUGAAAGGCCCGGGCUCAACCUGGGAACUGCGCUUGAUACUGCGGCGCUGGAAGGCGGGAGAGGAUGGCGGAAUUCCCAGUGUAGAGGUGAAAUUCGUAGAUAUUGGGAAGAACACCGGUGGCGAAGGCGGCCAUCUGGCCCGCAAUUGACGCUGAGGCGCGAAAGCGUGGGGAGCAAACA